This 253-nucleotide ribosomal RNA is filed under the name uncultured bacterium. RNAcentral describes it as "partial 16S ribosomal RNA". It matches the Rfam family "Bacterial small subunit ribosomal RNA", at positions 524 to 776 of the family's 1533-position model. The record is from RNAcentral.
UACGUAGGGUGCAAGCGUUGUCCGGAAUUAUUGGGCGUAAAGAGCUCGUAGGCGGUUUGUCGCGUCCGUUGUGAAAACUCGAGGCUCAACCUCGGGCUUGCAGUGGAUACGGGCAGACUAGAGUGCGGUAGGGGAGACUGGAAUUCCUGGUGUAGCGGUGGAAUGCGCAGAUAUCAGGAGGAACACCGAUGGCGAAGGCAGGUCUCUGGGCCGCAACUGACGCUGAGGAGCGAAAGCAUGGGGAGCGAACAGG